This 391-nucleotide long non-coding RNA is filed under the name Brassica napus (rape). RNAcentral's name for it is "long non-coding RNA (BNAP_LNC017097)". Lineage: Eukaryota; Viridiplantae; Streptophyta; Magnoliopsida; Brassicales; Brassicaceae. The record is from RNAcentral.
CGCCACCUCUGCCGCUGAUCUGGCAGCUUCCUCCACCGUAUCUUUACUAUGCUCGAAGCUCCUUGUGACCGCCUCUUUCAUCUUUUCUCCCGCUCCCAUCUCUGCUGCAUCAUCCUUUCCUCUAAAACUACACAAAAGGUAAAGAAGAGAACGAGAGCUAAAUAAAAGUUUUAUGAACGGAUUUAAUUAGUAUUAUAAUAAGAUCUAAGAUCUAUAAUAUCUACUUACUCUAUGUUAGGAGGAAAAAAGCGGGAGUGACCACGUCCUAAAGUCUCUUUGAAUUUCGACCAAUAAUCAUUACCAGACCGUUUGAUUCUAGAUAGCCAAACCGUCGCCGUUUUAUCUUCCGGCGGCACUGCUUCACUGGAAACAUUCGCAGAGAAUACAAAAA